Molecule: ribosomal RNA, 229 nt
Filed under: uncultured bacterium
Lineage: Bacteria
Description: partial 16S ribosomal RNA
Rfam family: Bacterial small subunit ribosomal RNA
Source: RNAcentral
UCCGUAGGCGGGUAAUUAAGUCAGAGGUGAAAUCCCACAGCUUAACUGUGGAACUGCCUUAGAUACUGGUUAUCUUGAGUUUUAGUGAAGUAGAUAGAAUGUGUAGUGUAGCGGUGAAAUGCAUAGAUAUUGCACAGAAUACCGAUUGCGAAGGCAGUCUACUAACUAACAACUGACGCUAAUGGACGAAAGCGUGGGGAGUGAACAGGAUUAGAUACCCUGGUAGUCC